This 1193-nucleotide ribosomal RNA is filed under the name uncultured Acinetobacter sp. RNAcentral describes it as "bacterial SSU rRNA". It matches the Rfam family "Bacterial small subunit ribosomal RNA", at positions 129 to 1316 of the family's 1533-position model. Lineage: Bacteria; Pseudomonadati; Pseudomonadota; Gammaproteobacteria; Moraxellales; Moraxellaceae. The record is from RNAcentral.
CCUAUUAGUGGGGGACAACAUUCCGAAAGGAAUGCUAAUACCGCAUACGCCCUACGGGGGAAAGCAGGGGAUCUUCGGACCUUGCGCUAAUAGAUGAGCCUAAGUCAGAUUAGCUAGUUGGUGGGGUAAAGGCCUACCAAGGCGACGAUCUGUAGCGGGUCUGAGAGGAUGAUCCGCCACACUGGGACUGAGACACGGCCCAGACUCCUACGGGAGGCAGCAGUGGGGAAUAUUGGACAAUGGGCGAAAGCCUGAUCCAGCCAUGCCGCGUGUGUGAAGAAGGCCUUUUGGUUGUAAAGCACUUUAAGCGAGGAGGAGGCUACUUAGAUUAAUACUCUAGGAUAGUGGACGUUACUCGCAGAAUAAGCACCGGCUAACUCUGUGCCAGCAGCCGCGGUAAUACAGAGGGUGCGAGCGUUAAUCGGAUUUACUGGGCGUAAAGCGUGCGUAGGCGGCUUCUUAAGUCGGAUGUGAAAUCCCUGAGCUUAACUUAGGAAUUGCAUUCGAUACUGGGAAGCUAGAGUAUGGGAGAGGAUGGUAGAAUUCCAGGUGUAGCGGUGAAAUGCGUAGAGAUCUGGAGGAAUACCGAUGGCGAAGGCAGCCAUCUGGCCUAAUACUGACGCUGAGGUACGAAAGCAUGGGGAGCAAACAGGAUUAGAUACCCUGGUAGUCCAUGCCGUAAACGAUGUCUACUAGCCGUUGGGGCCUUUGAGGCUUUAGUGGCGCAGCUAACGCGAUAAGUAGACCGCCUGGGGAGUACGGUAGCAAGACUAAAACUCAAAUGAAUUGACGGGGGCCCGCACAAGCGGUGGAGCAUGUGGUUUAAUUCGAUGCAACGCGAAGAACCUUACCUGGUCUUGACAUAGUAAGAACUUUCCAGAGAUGGAUUGGUGCCUUCGGGAACUUACAUACAGGUGCUGCAUGGCUGUCGUCAGCUCGUGUCGUGAGAUGUUGGGUUAAGUCCCGCAACGAGCGCAACCCUUUUCCUUAUUUGCCAGCGGGUUAAGCCGGGAACUUUAAGGAUACUGCCAGUGACAAACUGGAGGAAGGCGGGGACGACGUCAAGUCAUCAUGGCCCUUACGACCAGGGCUACACACGUGCUACAAUGGUCGGUACAAAGGGUUGCUACCUAGCGAUAGGAUGCUAAUCUCAAAAAGCCGAUCGUAGUCCGGAUUGGAGUCUGCAACUCGAC